RNAcentral lists this unclassified non-coding RNA (209 nucleotides) under plant metagenome. RNAcentral describes it as "partial contains small subunit ribosomal RNA, internal transcribed spacer 1, and 5.8S ribosomal RNA". The record is from RNAcentral.
UCUCCGUUGGUGAACCAGCGGAGGGAUCAUUACUGGAAUUGCAAGAUCCCACAACCCUGUGAACCUACCGAAACGUUGCCUCGGCGGGUGCCCGGCCCCCGCGCCGGGCGCUGCGCCCGCCGGCGGCCCCCUACUCUGUCUCUGCAGCGUGGCAUCUCAGAGUCCCAGAAAACAAGUCAAAACUUUCAACAACGGAUCUCUUGGCUCUA